GGAAUCUUCCACAAUGGACGCAAGUCUGAUGGAGCAACGCCGCGUGAGUGAAGAAGGUCUUCGGAUCGUAAAGCUCUGUUGUUGGUGAAGAAGGAUAGAGGCAGUAACUGGUCUUUAUUUGACGGUAAUCAACCAGAAAGUCACGGCUAACUACGUGCCAG
Molecule: ribosomal RNA, 161 nt
Filed under: uncultured bacterium
Lineage: Bacteria
Description: partial 16S rRNA
Rfam family: Bacterial small subunit ribosomal RNA
Source: RNAcentral